UACGUAGGGUGCAAGCGUUAAUCGGAAUUACUGGGCGUAAAGCGUGCGCAGGCGGUUUUGUAAGUUUGUCGUGAAAUCCCCGGGCUCAACCUGGGAAUUGCGAUGAAGACUGCAAGGCUAGAAUCUGGCAGAGGGGGGUAGAAUUCCACGUGUGAGCAGUGAAAUGCGUAGAUAUGUGGAGGAACACCGAUGGCGAAGGCAGCCCCCUGGGUCAAGAUUGACGCUCAUGCACGAA
RNAcentral lists this ribosomal RNA (235 nucleotides) under uncultured bacterium. RNAcentral's name for it is "partial 16S ribosomal RNA". It matches the Rfam family "Bacterial small subunit ribosomal RNA", at positions 524 to 757 of the family's 1533-position model. The record is from RNAcentral.